This 254-nucleotide ribosomal RNA is filed under the name uncultured bacterium. RNAcentral's name for it is "partial 16S ribosomal RNA". It matches the Rfam family "Bacterial small subunit ribosomal RNA", at positions 524 to 776 of the family's 1533-position model. The record is from RNAcentral.
UACGUAGGGGGCAAGCGUUGUCCGGAUUUAUUGGGCGUAAAGAGCUCGUAGGUGGUUCGGUAAGUCGGAUGUGAAAUCUCCAGGCUCAACCUGGAGGGGUCAUUCGAUACUGCCGUGACUAGAGGUCGGUAGGGGAGUGUGGAAUUCCUGGUGGAGCGGUGAAAUGCGCAGAUAUCAGGAGGAACACCCGUAGCGAAGGCGGCACUCUGGGCUGGUACUGACGCUGAGGAGCGAAAGCGUGGGUAGCAAACAGG